UCCUUAGAUGUCCUGGGCCGCACGCGCGCUACACUGAUGCAUGCAACGAGUUUCAUUUCUCCUGGGUCGAGAGGCCCGGGUAAUCUGUUGAACGUGCAUCGUGAUAGGGAUAGAUCAUUGCAAUUAUUGAUCUUGAACGAGGAAUUCCUAGUAAACGCGAGUCAUCAGCUCGCAUUGAUUACGUCCCUGCCCUUUGUACACACCGCCCGUCGCACCUACCGAUUGAGUGGUCCGGUGAGGCUUUGGGAUCUGAGCGGAAAGAGCGUUUCGCUGUUUCUGCUCGGAAAACUCAGUCGAACCUUAUCAUUUAGAGGAAGGAGAAGUCGUAACA
RNAcentral lists this ribosomal RNA (331 nucleotides) under uncultured eukaryote. RNAcentral's name for it is "partial 18S ribosomal RNA". It matches the Rfam family "Eukaryotic small subunit ribosomal RNA", at positions 1470 to 1796 of the family's 1831-position model. The record is from RNAcentral.